UGGGGAAUCUUGCACAAUGGGCGAAAGCCUGAUGCAGCAACGCCGCGUGCGGGAAGAAGGCCCUCGGGUUGUAAACCGCUUUCAGAAGGAACGAAACUGACGGUACUUUCAGAAGAAGGUGCGGCCAACUACGUGCCAGCAGCCGCGGUGACACGUAGGCACCAAGCGUUGUCCGGAUUUAUUGGGCGUAAAGAGCUCGUAGGCGGUUCAGUAAGUCGGGUGUGAAAACUUUGGGCUUAACCCAAAGCGUGCAUCCGAUACUGCUGUGACUUGAGUACGGUAGGGGAGCGGGGAAUUCCUAGUGUAGCGGUGAAAUGCGCAGAUAUUAGGAGGAACACCGGUGGCGAAGGCGCCGCUCUGGGCCGAAACUGACGCUGAGGAGCGAAAGCAUGGGUAGCAAACAGGAUUAGAUACCCUUGUAGUCCCUGAGCGGGCUGGCAAGGCGCAU
This 448-nucleotide ribosomal RNA is filed under the name uncultured bacterium. Its description in RNAcentral is "bacterial SSU rRNA". It matches the Rfam family "Bacterial small subunit ribosomal RNA", at positions 355 to 825 of the family's 1533-position model. The record is from RNAcentral.